This 505-nucleotide ribosomal RNA is filed under the name uncultured bacterium. Its description in RNAcentral is "partial 16S ribosomal RNA". It matches the Rfam family "Bacterial small subunit ribosomal RNA", at positions 28 to 507 of the family's 1533-position model. The record is from RNAcentral.
GACGAACGCUGGCGGCGUGCCUAAUACAUGCAAGUCGAACGCACAGUUUAUACCGUUGCUGGCUACACCAUAGACGGUGAGUUGCGAACGGGUAAGUAACGCGUAGGUAACCUGCCUGGUAGCGGGAGAGAACGAAUGUAAACGAAAGAUAAUACAGCAUAAUAUUGAUUAUUGCUGGGUAAUUAAUAGAAAGGUGCAAUUGCAGCACUACCAGAGGGACCUGCGUUGUAUUAGCUAGUAGGUGAGGUAACGGCUGACCUAGGCGGUGAUACAUAGCCGACCUGAGUGGGUGAUCGGCCGCACUGAGACGGAGACAGGGCCCAGACUCCUACGGGAGGCAGCAGUAGGGAAUCUUCGGCGAUCGACGAGAGUCUGACCGAUCAACGCCGCGUGAGUGAAGAAGGGUUUCGGUUCGUAAAUCUCUGUUGUAAGAGAAGAACGGGGGUGAGAGUGGAAAGUUCACACUGUGACGGUAGCUUACCAGAAAGGGACGGCUAACUACGUG